GACGAACGCUGGCGGCGUGCCUAAUACAUGCAAGUAGAACGCUGAAGGAGGAGCUUGCUCUUCUGGAUGAGUUGCGAACGGGUGAGUAACGCGUAGGUAACCUGCCUGGUAGCGGGGGAUAACUAUUGGAAACGAUAGCUAAUACCGCAUAAGAGUAGAUGUUGCAUGACAUUUACUUAAAAGGUGCAAUUGCAUCACUACCAGAUGGACCUGCGUUGUAUUAGCUAGUUGGUGGGGUAACGGCUUACCAAGGCGACGAUACAUAGCCGACCUGAGAGGGUGAUAGGCCACACUGGGACUGAGACACGGCCCAGACUCCUACGGGAGGCAGCAGUAGGGAAUCUUCGGCAAUGGACGGAAGUCUGACCGAGCAACGCCGCGUGAGUGAAGAAGGGUUUCGGAUCGUAAAGCUCUGUUGUAAGAGAAGAACGAGUGUGAGAGUGGAAAGUUCACACUGUGACGGUAUCUUACCAGAAAGGGACGGCUAACUACGUG
This 495-nucleotide ribosomal RNA is filed under the name uncultured bacterium. RNAcentral's name for it is "partial 16S ribosomal RNA". It matches the Rfam family "Bacterial small subunit ribosomal RNA", at positions 28 to 507 of the family's 1533-position model. The record is from RNAcentral.